This 429-nucleotide unclassified non-coding RNA is filed under the name Trichuris pardinasi. Its description in RNAcentral is "sequence contains ITS2". Lineage: Eukaryota; Metazoa; Nematoda; Enoplea; Trichinellida; Trichuridae. The record is from RNAcentral.
CAUUACGCACCCACGGUGCGCUUUCGCGGCUGGUCCGUUUCGACCGCCGUUGGUCGAACGUCCUCCUGCUCCGGACGCGACGUUCGAACAAGCGCUGUGCCGCCAAGGAUACGACAAAUGGUACGAGUAGUUGCCGCAGCAUGAAAGUGCCGCUGGUGUCUUAUCUGUCGGCAAGGAGAGGAGCUUGAUCGGCGGGACGCCGCUUCCAUGUCCUUCCGAGCAUGCUGCAAGCCACGUGCGCGCGGCAAAAGCUUCCGUAGAGGCUCCGCCGAACGUUCGCUCGUUCGAUGGCAUCGUAUCGAGCGCGCGGACGCGGCAAACGUUGAUCAUUGCUGUGCUGCCAGGCUGGUUUCGGGUCUGGCUGCUCGACGGAGCCGAUCACGGUUCUGCUGCUCACAAACGUUGUUGACCUCAGAUCACAGAGACUAC